GAUGAACGCUGGCGGCGUGCCUAAUACAUGCAAGUCGAACGGAGAUCUAGCAAUAGGUCUUAGUGGCGAACGGGUGAGUAACGCGUUGGUGACCUGCCCCGAAGAGGGGGAUAACAGCUCGAAAGGGCUGCUAAUACCCCAUGAGGUCUCUGGAGUUAGAGACUGGAGACGAAAGGAGCAAUCCGCUUUGGGAGGGGCCUGCGUCCCAUCAGCUAGUUGGUAGGGUAAAAGCCUACCAAGGCGAAGACGGGUAGGGGACCUGAGAGGGUGACCCCCCACACUGGCACUGAAACACGGGCCAGACACCUACGGGUGGCUG
RNAcentral lists this ribosomal RNA (319 nucleotides) under uncultured Chloroflexota bacterium. Its description in RNAcentral is "bacterial SSU rRNA". It matches the Rfam family "Bacterial small subunit ribosomal RNA", at positions 28 to 351 of the family's 1533-position model. The record is from RNAcentral. Lineage: Bacteria; Bacillati; Chloroflexota.